Carya illinoinensis is the source of this 329-nucleotide long non-coding RNA. RefSeq lists it as uncharacterized. Lineage: Eukaryota; Viridiplantae; Streptophyta; Magnoliopsida; Fagales; Juglandaceae. The transcript has 2 exons. The record is from RefSeq and is a predicted model, not a curated record.
CUUUACAUUUGACCAUGUCUAUGGAAGUAGUGGAGUGGAUCUCCUUCAUCUGCCAUGUUUGAAGAAUGCAUUGCUGCAUUUGUUGAUGGUUUAUUCCAAGGAUAUAAUGAUACCAGUACUAGCUUAUGGUCAGAUUGAAGCAGCAGGAGGAGAGGAAAUGAAGAUCAUGAAAUAGCACAUGUUUCUGCUGUUAGUGUAGGCAAUGAUUAUUCAAUGGGAAACAUGAUUGUUUUGUUAUUAUUUUGUAGUUCAUCUUGUAGUUUUGUAUUUUGUAUUGUAAUGCAAUAUGUAAAUAACAAAAUAAUGUAAGAUGUAGUGGAUUACACAAA